RNAcentral lists this ribosomal RNA (636 nucleotides) under uncultured eukaryote. RNAcentral describes it as "SSU rRNA". It matches the Rfam family "Eukaryotic small subunit ribosomal RNA", at positions 604 to 1148 of the family's 1831-position model. The record is from RNAcentral.
UUAAAGUUGUUGCGGUUAAAACGUUCGUAGUUGAAUUUGUGUCCCACACGGGUAAUUGGCCCACUUACGGGUUCUUAUUACUUGCCGGCUUGCUGGCUUUAGUGUGCGGACGUUUUACCGGUGAGGGAAACGGUGUAGUUUCGGCUGCAAUACGCCCCUUAUUUAUUUCAUAAACCCGUCUUGGUGCUUUUAAUCGAGUGCCAAUGUGGGCCGGUACUAUUACUUUGAACAAAUUAGAGUGCUUAAAGCAGGCUAAAUUUAAUGAAAGUUAAAACGCCUGAAGAUAUUUUGCAUGGAAUAAUGGAAUAGGACCUCUGUUCUACUUUCAUUGGUUUUUAGACCAAGAGGUAAUGAUUAAUAGAAGCAGUUGGGGGCAUUAGUAUUACGAGGCGAGAGGUGAAAUUCGUAGACCCUCGUAAGACUAACUUAAGCGAAAGCAUUUGCCAAGGAUGUUUUCAUUAAUCAAGAACGAAAGUUAGAGGAUCGAAGGCGAUCAGAUACCGCCCUAGUUCUAACCAUAAACGAUGCCAGCUAGCAAUUGUAUGUAGCUACUAAUUUUGGUUCAUACAGUCGCUUUCCGGGAAACCAAAGCUUUUGGGCUCCGGGGGAAGUAUGGUUGCAAAGCUGAAACUUAAA